Molecule: long non-coding RNA, 147 nt
Organism: Priapulus caudatus
Lineage: Eukaryota; Metazoa; Priapulida; Priapulimorpha; Priapulimorphida; Priapulidae
Exons: 3
Source: RefSeq, a predicted model, not a curated record
UAUACACUGUGAGGGGAUUGCCAUGAGCUUGCGAAUAGAGCAGCAUGGUGGUUGGAGUGAUUUUAUUGUGUGAGGUACUGUGACUGUUUGAAGUUGAGGUUUGGCAAUUUUAUUAUAUUUGCACACGCAAAUUUUAUAUUACAUAUU